Molecule: long non-coding RNA, 1412 nt
Organism: Bos taurus (domestic cattle)
Lineage: Eukaryota; Metazoa; Chordata; Mammalia; Artiodactyla; Bovidae
Source: Ensembl
ACCAAUACAAUAUUGUAAAGUUAAAAAAUAAAAUUAAAUUUAAAAAAAAAAAAUAAAAUAUAAAUGGCUCAGGCUAAGACUGGAAAAAAUUAUAGGGCUGAACUCAAUUUCAAAUAUUCAAGAUAGACCAUGACUUCUUAAGUAAUCAGAUACUCUGUUUUACAGUCUCUCUUCACCCAUGUUUUAUAUAUGUUUAUGUGCAUAUAGAAAUAAAGAUAUAGAGGGAAACAAUAGAAUGGAAAGACUGGAGAUCUCUUCACGAAAAUUUGAGAUAUCAAGGAAACAAUUCAUGCAAAGAUGGGCACAAUAAAGGACAAAAAUGGUAAGGAUCUAACAAGCAGAAGAGAUUAAGAAGAGGUGGCAAGAAUAUACAGAACUGUACAAAAAAAGGUCUCAGUGACCCGGGUAACCAUGAUGGUGUGGCCACUCUCCUAGAGGCAGACAUCCUGGAGUGUGACGUCAACUGGGCCUUAGGAAGCAUUGCAACAAACAAAGCUAGUGGAGGUGAUGAAAUUCCAGCUGAGCUAUUUCAAAUCCUAAAAGAUGAUGCUGUUGAAGUGCUGCACUUAAUAUGUUAGCAGAUUUGGAAAACAGGGGCCAAAGGAUUGGAAAAGGUCACUUUUCAUUCCAAUUCCAAGGAAGGAUAAUGCCAAAGAAUGUUCAAACCACCGUACAAUUGUGCUCAUUUCAUAUCCUAGCAAGGUAAUACUCAAAAUCCUUCAAGUUAGGCUUCAGCAAUACAUGAACCCAGAAUUUCCAGAUGCAUAUAUAAACUGGGUUUAGAAAAGGCAGAGGAACAAGAGAUCAAAUUGUCAACAUUGAUUAGAUAAUAGAAAAAGCAAGGGAAUUCCAGAACAAACAUCUGCUUCACUGACUAUGCUAAAGCCUUUGACUGUGUGGAUCACAAGAAACUGUAGAAAAUUCUUAAAGAGAUGGGAAUACCAGACCACCUUACCACAGAAACCUGUAUGCAGGUUAAGAAGCAACAGACAUGGAACAAUGGACUGGUUCAAAACUGGGAAAGGAGUACAAUAAGGCUGUAUACUGUCACCCUGGUUAUUUAACUUUAUGCAGAGUGUAUCAUGUGAAAUGCCAGGCUGGAUGAAUCACAAGCUGGAAUCAAGAUUGCUGGGAGAAAUAUCAACAACCUCAGAUAUUAGAGUGGUAACUAAUGGCAGAAAGUAAAGAGGAACUAAAGAGCCUCUUGAUGAGAGUGAAAGGAGAAUGAAAAGCUUGCUUAAACUCAACAUUCAAAAAACUAUGGCAAAAAAAGGGGGAAGAAGUAGGAAGAGUGACAGAUUUCAUUUCCUUGGGCUCCAAAAUCACCGUGAAUAGUGGAUGGCCAUGAAAUUAAAAGAUGCUUGCUCCUUGGAAGGAAAGCUGUGACAAAUCUAGACAGCAUAUUAAAAAGC